UGUGUCAGUGUGACAUCUUAGACUAUAAUGCAAUGGACGAGGCAGAAGGUAAUGAUCACAUUGAUGAAGUACAACUCUCAGUAUUUGUCAAUUGUAGAUACAGAGGAUACGAUCAGCUAUAGGGGAGUGUACAACUUGGCUUUGGUGUUCUGCUGGUUCUUCAACAUCCUUCAAACACCUGGAGUAAACUGAUCUGGAAGUGACUGCAAGCUGAAUGGACGGAUCAACCUGAUAAUUGGCGUUUCAGUUCACACCAAGAAAGCAAUAUUCAAGAUAUUGGUCAAAUUACUCAGAAAGCUCUGUCCCUCAUUCAACUCGGUGCGACACAAUAGAGACUGGGACAGAAAAUAUAAGUCUGAUUCUAUUUUGGUACGAAGAGAUUCAAUGUUGGUUACUUCUAUUGCACAUAGGGAACGUGACAAAGAAGAUAGCAUUCAGUUAAAGGCAGUGGACACUUGGAAGUCAUUGAAAAUAAUUAUUAGCAUAAAACAUUACUUGGUAACAAG
Asterias rubens (European starfish) is the source of this 506-nucleotide long non-coding RNA. RefSeq lists it as uncharacterized. The transcript is spliced from 3 exons. The record is from RefSeq and is a predicted model, not a curated record. Lineage: Eukaryota; Metazoa; Echinodermata; Asteroidea; Forcipulatida; Asteriidae.